UGCAAAUUAUGACUUAAUUUAAGAAUUAGGUUAAAUUGCUUUGAUUUUUAUACUUAUAUUGGACUAAAAGUGGUGAAUAAGUAGUAAUUAAUUUUGUUUUAUUUAUUAAUUGUAAGAUUCAGCAAUAGUUUUUAACUUUAACAAAUAUUUGUGCCAGCAGUUGCGGUUAUACAAAGAAGGUUACUUAAUUCUAGUGGUUUUAGAUAAUUAAUUUUUUAUCUUUAAAAAUUAUAUUGAGAGGUGAAAUUUUAAUAUAAAAGUUAAAUUUAUAAAUUGAAUGGACUAGGAAAAUUUCGUUUAUAAACCAGGAUUAGAUACCCUGUUAUUAAAAUUGUUACAAUUAAAACCGGAUUAGUAUUAGUUAAGUGCUUGAAAAUUAAAUAUCUUGGCGGUACUUUAACCUAUUAGAGGAACCUGUUCUGUAAUUGAUAGUCCACAAUUUAUUUUACUUUUAAAAUUGCUUGUAUAUCGUUGUUGUAAUGAAAAUUUCAUAAGAAAACUAAUUUUCUUUUCAUAAAAUUUAAUUUAGAUCAAAUCAAGGUGCAGCUUUUAGAAGAAGAAAUGGGUUACAUUAAUAUAUUUAAGUUUGUAAAUUUUAUUUAAUUAGGAUUUAAUAGUAAUUAUAUUUAUUUUAAUAUAAUGAAUCAGGAUCUAAAGUAUGCACAUAUCGCCCGUCGCUUUCAUAUUUUCAAUGAAAUAAGUCGUAACAUAGUAGAUUUAUCGGAAGAUGAAUCUAGAAUGAC
This 743-nucleotide non-coding RNA is filed under the name Cryptocephalus lividimanus. The record is from RNAcentral. Lineage: Eukaryota; Metazoa; Arthropoda; Insecta; Coleoptera; Chrysomelidae.